This 85-nucleotide transfer RNA is filed under the name Felis catus (domestic cat). It matches the Rfam family "tRNA". From Rfam's summary of the family: Transfer RNA (tRNA) molecules are approximately 80 nucleotides in length. Their secondary structure includes four short double-helical elements and three loops (D, anti-codon, and T loops). Lineage: Eukaryota; Metazoa; Chordata; Mammalia; Carnivora; Felidae. The record is from Rfam by way of RNAcentral.
GCCUGGGUGGCUCAGUUGGUUAAGCAUCUGACUUCAGCUCAGGUCAGGAUCUCAUAGUUCAUGGGUUCAAGCCCCGCCUCGGGCU